Molecule: long non-coding RNA, 502 nt
Filed under: Anas zonorhyncha (Eastern spot-billed duck)
Lineage: Eukaryota; Metazoa; Chordata; Aves; Anseriformes; Anatidae
Description: lncRNA (ENSAZOG00000018225.1)
Source: RNAcentral
GCCCGAGGGAAAAUGGUACAGGGGGGGGACGCCGGGGCCGGGCCGGGGUCCGGCCGGAGCCUCCGCUGCCUUCAGCGCCGCGCCGCCCCCGGGGCUGCGGCUCUGCCCGCGCCGCCGCUCCCGCGCUAUGGGCAGCCGGGGAAGCGGAGCCGAGCGAGGAGUGGAGGCUGGCCGUGCCCGACGCUUUGCCAUGUAAACCUCCUCGGCCUCGCACACUGCAGCACAGACAGAUGUUGGCACAGCCCCGGACCUGCAGAACGCUCUAAGCACUCGGUGCCACCACAUUUGAAGCCUCGAUGUUUGCUCCAUGUAAUGGCAGAGAAAGCUCUGCCCAUUGCUGCUGCCCCAAAAUGAGCAAGAAAAGACUGGAGGGAAGGCGUAGCGCUGGGCUUGGGGCUUGCGGGGAUGAUGAGUGCUGGCAAGGGCUCUGGAUAGCUGCACAGGCAGCCGCAGGGUCCCCAGUGCCACUCAUGGCUUGAAGAAAGGCAUUUUUGGAGUUAUG